RNAcentral lists this unclassified non-coding RNA (20 nucleotides) under Mus musculus (house mouse). Its description in RNAcentral is "oocyte_clustered_small_RNA10142". The record is from RNAcentral. Lineage: Eukaryota; Metazoa; Chordata; Mammalia; Rodentia; Muridae.
GUACUGCAAGGGAUUUGGCC